GAUGAACGCUGGCGGCGUGCCUAAUACAUGCAAGUCGAGCGAACGGACGAGAAGCUUGCGUCUCGGAUGUUAGCGGCGGACGGGUGAGUAACACGUGUAUAACCUACCUAUAAGACUGGGAUAACUUCGGGAAACCGGAGCUAAUACCGGAUAAUAUUUUGAACCGCAUGGUGCAAAAGUGAAAUACGGUCUUGCUGGCACUUCUAGAUGGAUCCGCGCUGCAUUCGCUAGUUGGUACGGUAACGGCUUACCAAGGCAACGAUGCAUAGCCGACCUGCGAGGGUGGUAGGCCACACUGGAACUGGGACACGGUCCAGGCGACUGAGGGAGGGCGCAGUAGGCAACCUUCCGCAGCGGGCGAAAGCAUGACGGAGCGACGCCGCGUGUGUGAUGAAGGUCUUCGGAUCGUAAAACUCUGUUAUUAGUGAAGAACAGAUGUGUAAGUAACUGUGCACAUCUUGACGGUACCUAAUCAGAAAGCAACGGCUAACUACGUG
RNAcentral lists this ribosomal RNA (497 nucleotides) under uncultured bacterium. Its description in RNAcentral is "partial 16S ribosomal RNA". It matches the Rfam family "Bacterial small subunit ribosomal RNA", at positions 28 to 507 of the family's 1533-position model. The record is from RNAcentral.